CACGUAGGCGGCCUCAUAAGUCGGAUGUGAAAUCCCUCGGCUCAACCGAGGAAGUGCAUCCGAAACUGCGAGGCUCGAGUAUGGAAGAGGGUCGCAGAAUUCCCGGUGUAGAGGUGAAAUUCGUAGAUAUCGGGAGGAAUACCAGUGGCGAAGGCGGCGACCUGGGCCAAUACUGACGCUGAGGUGCGAAAGCGUGGGAGCAAACA
RNAcentral lists this ribosomal RNA (206 nucleotides) under uncultured bacterium. Its description in RNAcentral is "partial 16S ribosomal RNA". It matches the Rfam family "Bacterial small subunit ribosomal RNA", at positions 568 to 774 of the family's 1533-position model. The record is from RNAcentral.